RNAcentral lists this ribosomal RNA (466 nucleotides) under uncultured bacterium. Its description in RNAcentral is "partial 16S ribosomal RNA". It matches the Rfam family "Bacterial small subunit ribosomal RNA", at positions 28 to 507 of the family's 1533-position model. The record is from RNAcentral.
GAUGAACGCUGGCGGCGUGCUUAACACAUGCAAGUCGAACGAUGAAGCCCAGCUUGCUGGGUGGAUUAGUGGCGAACGGGUGAGUAACACGUGAGUAACCUGCCCUUAACUCUGGGAUAAGCCUGGGAAAUUGGGUCUAAUACCGGAUAGGAGCGUCCACCGCAUGGUGGGUGUUGGAAAGAUUUAUCGGUUUUGGAUGGACUCGCGGCCUAUCAGCUUGUUGGUGAGGUAAUGGCUCACCAAGGCGACGACGGGUAGCCGGCCUGAGAGGGUGACCGGCCACACUGGGACUGAGGCACGGCCCAGACUCCUACGGGAGGCAGCAGUGGGGAAUAUUGCACAAUGGGCGCAAGCCUGAUGCAGCGACGCCGCGUGAGGGAUGACGGCCUUCGGGUUGUAAACCUCUUUCAGUAGGGAAGAAGCGAAAGUGACGGUACCUGCAGAAGAAGCACCGGCUAACUACGUG